Ribosomal RNA from Ochotona princeps (American pika), 117 nucleotides. Lineage: Eukaryota; Metazoa; Chordata; Mammalia; Lagomorpha; Ochotonidae. The record is from Ensembl.
AUCUACGGCCAUACCACCCUGAGUGCGCCCGAUCUCGUCUGAUCUCAGAACCUAAGCAGGGUCGGGCCUGGUUAGUACUAGGAUGGGAGAAAAAUAGAGAAAUAGUAAUUAUAAAAU